This is a long non-coding RNA of Triticum dicoccoides, 338 nucleotides long. RefSeq lists it as uncharacterized. The record is from RefSeq and is a predicted model, not a curated record. Lineage: Eukaryota; Viridiplantae; Streptophyta; Magnoliopsida; Poales; Poaceae. The transcript has 3 exons.
AUGCAGGUAAUGACAUAUGAGAAGCAAAGAGGAUCAAAUGAUUCCACAUACUGGGUAUUAUUUGAACUGAUAUGGGGGGCUACUUCAGAUUCCUUUUCAGCAAAAUAUGGGAACUCCAUUUUCUUGCAAGGGUAACCAUAGCAUCUACAUUGCUUUAUGCCUGAAACUGAGAGCUUUGGAACAGUGCUAUGCGCUAUUGGACAAAUAGAUACAGAGAUACCUAUCAGUGGUGGUCAGCAGCAAAUACGAGAAAUGUUAGAUACAUCCACACUCUUUCUUGAUCUAUGGUUAGUCCCCCUCUUGCCUACCUUAAGCUCUUGGUGAAUUACCAGAUUAAG